This 313-nucleotide ribosomal RNA is filed under the name uncultured Pseudomonas sp. RNAcentral's name for it is "bacterial SSU rRNA". It matches the Rfam family "Bacterial small subunit ribosomal RNA", at positions 1069 to 1382 of the family's 1533-position model. The record is from RNAcentral. Lineage: Bacteria; Pseudomonadati; Pseudomonadota; Gammaproteobacteria; Pseudomonadales; Pseudomonadaceae.
GAGAUGUUGGGUUAAGUCCGUAACGAGCGCAACCCUUCGUCCUUAGUUACCAGCACGUUAUGGUGGCACUCUAAGGAGACUGCCGGUGACAAACCGGAGGAAGGUGGGGAUGACGUCAAGUCAUCAUGGCCCUUACGGCCUGGGCUACACACGUGCUACAAUGGUCGGUACAAAGGGUUGCCAAGCCGCGAGGUGGAGCUAAUCCCAUAAAACCGAUCGUAGUCCGGAUCGCAGUCUGCAACUCGACUGCGUGAAGUCGGAAUCGCUAGUAAUCGUGAAUCAGAAUGUCACGGUGAAUACGUUCCCGGGCCUU